This 1963-nucleotide long non-coding RNA is filed under the name Ananas comosus (pineapple). RNAcentral describes it as "long non-coding RNA (ACOM_LNC033747)". The record is from RNAcentral. Lineage: Eukaryota; Viridiplantae; Streptophyta; Magnoliopsida; Poales; Bromeliaceae.
CCGGCCUACCAGCACUGAUCCGUUUCCCACGUCCUGCGCCCGGAUCUGGCAAAGCUCGGGGCCGCGUAGGAGGAGGAGGAGGAGGAGGAGAAGGGCCUCCGAUCGCCGCGCGGUGGCGCCGCGGCGGCGGCGGCGGCGGCGGCGGCGGCGGCGGCGGCGGCGGCGGCGGAGGAGAGGGACGUGGAGCGGUCGUAGCGGGCGCGCUGGUCGGGGUCGGAGAGGGUGGCGUAGGCGGCGUGGAUGCGGAUGAACUCGUCGGCGGAGGCGCCGCGGACGACGUCGGGGUGGCGCUCGCGCGCGAGGCGCCGGUACGCGGCCUUGAUCUCGCGCCCCGUCGCCGCCGCGCCGAUCCCGAGCACGUCGUACAGCGUUCCGCCGGCUGCGGCGGAGGGUGCGGCGGCGGCGGCGGAGGCGCGGAGGCGGAGGCGACGGGGGAGAGGAGGGGGACGGGGAGGGUUCCGAAGCCCGAGAAGGGAGUUCGGAGAGGAGAGGGAGAGCGAUGCAACAGCAACCAUGGAGAAUACGGAGAUGGGGAGAGAUUGGAGAGGUUGAAGACGAUGGUUUGGGGGGAUUACCAUUAUUAUAAGCAGGGGGAGGGGGAGGCGAUAUCCGCGCCUCUCUAUCUAUGGACGGAGAUACUCUUUGACUCUUGAGGGUACAGAAGAUCAUUGCGUAGACCUGCUGCACUCUUUUUAUUUUUGGACCGCUCCCUCUUUUUCCGGCAUCUUCCCGAAUGAUUCAAGAACUUUUCUCUCUGCUGGCCAAGUGAAAAGAAAAUCUAGAAUAAGAUGCUGUACAAUGCUGUUCGAUAAAUAUACUGUAAUUCAUUCAUUCAUGUCUCUCCGAACAAAAUAUAUUGUAUUUAGGAGCAAAGCUUGUGUGCUUCUAAAAGCACGGUAGUUUCUGUGCCAUUAAAUCGUUUUUGUUGUUGAAACUUUCGAAUCAACGAUCGAUUUUCUUAGAUUUGAUCUAGAGUACUGAAAAUAUGUAGAAUAUAAAUUCUAUAAUUUUUCAUUAUCAUCUGUCGAAAAAAUUCAAAAUUAAAAAUUUUAAUGAUUGUAGUGAGUUAUUCUUAAAUUUAAUAAUGUAGAAAUAUUUAAAAUAAAUGAAAUUCUAAUAGAAAAUUAUUUAUACUUAUAAGGCAAAAUAAAUAUAAACUUUAGUAUUAUAUUUUGUUACAUUUUUAUUUUUUGAAAAUAUUCCAAAUUAAAUUCAAACAAAACUAAUCGCUGAUUUAAAAAUUCUAAAUAUUAUAAAUCCUGUUAUAGUACGGAGGCCACCGUACCUUCAAAAAUAAAAAUACACAAAUAAGGUCCGAUAUUUAAUCUUUAAACUAAAAAGUAUUUUGAAUGAGAUAAAAUAUUUAAUACUAAGUAAAAUAUAAAUUAUCUGAACAAAUUAAUUACAACAGCAUCAAGACAGUCUCCUUCCUUGGGGUGAUAAAAAUAAGCAGUCGACAACUGAAGAUCGAAGGAAGUCUGGGUAGAAAAGUUUCCAAUUUGGCCGGGGGUGCUUAUCCGCUGGGGACGGCGGGGUGAGUCAGCGAGGGGUCGGAUUGGCUGUCACGGAACGGAGAGUGCAGUCUGGAGUCUGGACCGCGCAAAAAACAAAUCACACGCAAGAGCCAGCGGAAGACUGGCAUCGGGUUGGAAAACUCGGAAGCGGGGAUAGCGAGGGUGUCGCCUUAGUCAUGCUCGAGCUGGACUGGUACGAUGUCACCGGAUUGGAUUGGCCCCACACCCCUCCCCCACCACAACCGGGUCCGGAUAGGGUUGGCCCCACACCGGACGUGGCAGUGGAUAGAUUAAUUCCAAUAAGUCAUGUCUCUUCUUUUUUUUCUUUUUUUUUUUUGAAAAAAUUUUUCUCAAUAUAAAUUUUAAUAUUUGGUGGGGCACAUAACUCUAAUGUGAAGUUGAGGAUGAUCUCAUAAGAGGAUGGGAUCCGAAAUGAGAGGUUCGGGGGG